RNAcentral lists this non-coding RNA (119 nucleotides) under Lotharella globosa. Lineage: Eukaryota; Cercozoa; Chlorarachniophyceae. The record is from RNAcentral.
CUACCUAUGUCCUCGCAUUUUAGCCAGCAGUCCUAAUAUCCCCAUGUUUAUAACUCCACCACAGCGUCCUUGUAAUCCACCUGAAACGAUUCCGGUUCACGGAUUCCCGAGGGGGAAAG